GCAAGUCGAACGGUAACAUUUCUAGCUUGCUAGAAGAUGACGAGUGGCGGACGGGUGAGUAAUGCUUGGGAACUUGCCUUUGCGAGGGGGAUAACAGUUGGAAACGACUGCUAAUACCGCAUAAUGUCUUCGGACCAAACGGGGCUUCGGCUCCGGCGCAAAGAGAGGCCCAAGUGAGAUUAGCUAGUUGGUAAGGUAACGGCUUACCAAGGCGACGAUCUCUAGCUGUUCUGAGAGGAAGAUCAGCCACACUGGGACUGAGACACGGCCCAGACUCCUACGGGAGGCAGCAGUGGGGAAUAUUGCACAAUGGGGGAAACCCUGAUGCAGCCAUGCCGCGUGUGUGAAGAAGGCCUUCGGGUUGUAAAGCACUUUCAGUUGUGAGGAAAAGUUAGUAGUUAAUACCUGCUAGCCGUGACGUUAACAACAGAAGAAGCACCGGCUAACUCCGUGCCAGCAGCCGCGGUAAUACGGAGGGUGCGAGCGUUAAUCGGAAUUACUGGGCGUAAAGCGCACGCAGGCGGUUUGUUAAGCUAGAUGUGAAAGCCCCGGGCUCAACCUGGGAUGGUCAUUUAGAAUUGGCAGACUAGAGUCUUGGAGAGGGGAGUGGAAUUCCAGGUGUAGCGGUGAAAUGCGUAGAUAUCUGGAGGAACAUCAGUGGCGAAGGCGACUCCCUGGCCAAAGACUGACGCUCAUGUGCGAAAGUGUGGGUAGCGAACAGGAUUAGAUACCCUGGUAGUCCACACCGUAAACGCUGUCUACUAGCUGUGUGUGCCUUUAAGGCGUGCGUAGCGAAGCUAACGCGCUAAGUAGACCGCCUGGGGAGUACGGCCGCAAGGUUAAAACUCAAAUGAAUUGACGGGGGCCCGCACAAGCGGUGGAGCAUGUGUUUAAUUCGAUGCAACGCGAAGAACCUUACCUACACUUGACAUGCUGAGAAGUUACUAGAGAUAGUUUCGUGCCUUCGGGAACUCAAACACAGGUGCUGCAUGGCUGUCGUCAGCUCGUGUCGUGAGAUGUUGGGUUAAUUCCCGCAACGAGAGACACACCUGUGUCUUUAUUGCCGGCCUUAAAUUGUGGCCUCUCAAGAGAAAUGGCGCGUGAGAAACCCCAAAAAAAUAGUACGACGUCCG
Molecule: ribosomal RNA, 1133 nt
Filed under: uncultured Gammaproteobacteria bacterium
Lineage: Bacteria; Pseudomonadati; Pseudomonadota; Gammaproteobacteria
Description: bacterial SSU rRNA
Rfam family: Bacterial small subunit ribosomal RNA
Source: RNAcentral